CAUAGUUAAAAGAUACGAGUGUUCGAUGAAGCCUUUAAGUUUGAAAUACCAUUAGGUAUAACCGAUAAUCUAUUUAUCAAAAAUUAUGAAACAAAAUAUUAUACUUUACUAAAGUAUACUUUUAAAAGUACUUUUGAAUUUAACUAUUUAUUAUGUUAGGUAGCGGCUUACAAUUUAGAUUCUACCGACAAGAAAUGGUACAUCUGAUAACUCGAGAUUACUUAAGCUUGUUCAGUGCUUUUGCUCUAGUUCCGACAAGGUUAUGGUGGGCGUAUGCGCGUUAGCGAAGUGAUCGUUUUGCAGUAUCGUCAUGACACGAAAUAUUUUUGACAUUGAAAAUGUAGAAAGCGCCGUACACAAUGGGACAUUGAACGAUAGUGAAAAUACAGUCAUCCCGUGCAUAACAAUUAGGUACAUUUUAUGCAAUAAUAAUAAUAUAAUUGAUCAACAUCAAACGUGACGUUAGCGAUCUUUUCUGUCCUUGUGAUCAAAGUUAUAAACCGAAUGAUAAUUAGAAUAUCAUUGCGAAAAAACGGAUAAAUUUGUUAUUGUUUUUAAGUUUUAUAUAAAAUUAUGUUUUUAAAAAAUCUAAAGAUAUUUAACUAGUACUGUGUAAAACUCAUAGAAAGAUAUGUUCCUUUUUUAGCUGAUAUAUUUUUUUUGACCUUUAAAACAUAAUUAUGGUUUUCAAGCCAAUGUUUUAGUUAUAUCGAAUUUUAUUUCUGAAAAUAUAUCUAUAAUAUCUUUAGAGUAGCUUCAACUAAGUUACUUGACAAACAACUGAGCAUACAUAAGACAUAAGCAUUUAAAUAUUUGUCAAGGAAAAUAACUUCUUAUGUUAAUUAUUACAAGUCGUAAAAUAAUAUGUACGCAGUUUUCUACACAGCAUUUACCGCAAUUUGUACGCGUUGAACUCGGCUUAGCCGCUUUUUCUCGUAUAUAUCACUUACCUAUUUGAAAAGAUUUACUUCCGAUUACUAUUUCAAGGUUAUAAUAGAAUAUUCAUCUUUGAAAUAAAAAAAAUGUUUUAAAUGUUGUAAGCAAUUUUUAAUUGUAGCGUGAAAUAUUUAUAAUAUACUUUUAUUGAUA
Molecule: long non-coding RNA, 1089 nt
Organism: Nymphalis io (European peacock)
Lineage: Eukaryota; Metazoa; Arthropoda; Insecta; Lepidoptera; Nymphalidae
Exons: 3
Source: RefSeq, a predicted model, not a curated record